This 523-nucleotide ribosomal RNA is filed under the name uncultured bacterium. Its description in RNAcentral is "partial 16S ribosomal RNA". It matches the Rfam family "Bacterial small subunit ribosomal RNA", at positions 355 to 868 of the family's 1533-position model. The record is from RNAcentral.
UGGGGAAUUUUGGACAAUGGGCGCAAGCCUGAUCCAGCCAUGCCGCGUGCGGGAAGAAGGCCUUCGGGUUGUAAACCGCUUUUGUCAGGGAAGAAAUCAUCUGAGUUAAUACCUCGGGAGGAUGACGGUACCUGAAGAAUAAGCACCGGCUAACUACGUGCCAGCAGCCGCGGUAAUACGUAGGGUGCAAGCGUUAAUCGGAAUUACUGGGCGUAAAGCGUGCGCAGGCGGUUUUGUAAGACAGAGGUGAAAUCCCCGGGCUCAACCCGGGAACUGCCUUUGUGACUGCAAGGCUUGAGUGCGGCAGAGGGGGGAUGGAAUUCCGCGUGUAGCAGUGAAAUGCGUAGAUAUGCGGAGGAACACCGAUGGCGAAGGCAAUCCCCCGGGCCUGCACUGACGCUCAUGCACGAAAGCGUGGGGAGCAAACAGGAUUAGAUACCCUGGUAGUCCACGCCCCUAAACGAUGUCGACUGGUUGUUGGGGAAGGUUCCUUCUCAGUAACGUAGCUAACGCGUGAAGUUGA